Cebus imitator (Panamanian white-faced capuchin) is the source of this 107-nucleotide small nuclear RNA. Lineage: Eukaryota; Metazoa; Chordata; Mammalia; Primates; Cebidae. The record is from Ensembl.
GUGCUUGCUUCGGCCGCACAUUUACUAAAAUUGGAAUGAUACAGAGAAAAUCAGCAUGGCCUCUGCGCAAGGAUGACACACGAAUUCAUGGGGUGUUCCAUUUGUAA